ACUGCGAAAUGCCGUCUGGCACGACUUCAUAGUCCAGUUCGCCAACACGUCGGAUGAUUUUGUAGGCUCCGAGAUAGCGUCGCAAUAGUUUCUCAUUGAGUCCUAGUCGACGUAUUGGGGUCCAAAUCCAAACACGGUCACCGGGCUGGUACUCGAAGAAGCGUCGUCGGAGGUUGUAGUGUCUGCUGUCGGUGCGCUGCUGGUUCUUGAUCCGCAGGUGGGAGAGCUGUCGGGCUUCUUCAACGCGCUGGAGGCUGUAGACGGCAUGAACGUGCAUGAUGAACCAAGUUGAAGCUCGAAGUGUCGUAAAGUUCCUCCAUUUGAAGGGCAACAACACAACACACGCGAAAUCCAUGACGAAAUGAAAGCUGUCUAAUGGGAUGAAAACCCAUUAUAGGACCCGUUUGUGAGAUGGUAGAGGAACUGUCAAAAUGGUCACAUGUCCCUGGCAGACGAGCCACGAGCGUGUAGACCCUCAAUCAAGGAUGAUCUUAUACCAUAGUGAAGAACGUGAGGCCGUUAUCCUUGACGGCAGAAGAUCGACAGUGGAAAGAGUGAUGGCGGCGACUGGACCAAGUUAGGAAACUGCGUGGAGGAAUAUUCAUUAGGAACUGCAGAUGAAUAACGUGUUUGAAGGCUGGGUACCUCGCUAGUUGACACCUUUUCAAAAGCAAACUCGCCACGACCUUUCCCAGAAGAACUUGACUAUGCUGGAGUGGAAUCACGACGAUUUUUCGGCCCGUCUCGUCACUGUAAACGAGUGCUACGUAUACCUCUGCGAUGCGGAGACCAAAGAAUUGAGCAUGGAGUGGGAACAUUCAUCCUCCACCCCUCACAAAAAGGCGAAGUUCCAGAAAUCUGAAGGGUGAGACACUGAACACCGAUUGCUACUGAAAGCUUCUGGAGAAACUGCUUGAUGCAUUGAAACAAAAAUGUCGCGGCAUAAUCAGCAAAGGCGUUCGUCUCCUGGCCGACAAUGCACCCGUCCAUAUGACCCAAGCAUCCGUUGCAGCCGCCCACCGGUUCGGCUAUGAACCUUUGCAGCAUCCACCUUAUUCGCCUGAUCGUGCACCAAGCGACUUCUUCCUCUUUCCUGAGAUGAAGACACGCCUUCGUGGUCAGCGAUUUGACGACAGAGAGGAUGUCAUUUGCGAGGUGGAACAGUGGUUUUAGAGCACAGCGGAGGACUCCUACCAAGAGGGUUUGAAACGGGUGAAGAAACACUCGUAAAAUGUGUGAUUCUGGAGGGAGACUUCGUGUGAAGAACUAACUUUGACUACUGCAAGUGACUAUUGUAUGUUUUUUUUUUUUUAUUUCAUGGCGAUAAUUAAAACUUUUGGAUACCGUCUCGUAA
Dermacentor andersoni is the source of this 1354-nucleotide long non-coding RNA. RefSeq lists it as uncharacterized. Lineage: Eukaryota; Metazoa; Arthropoda; Arachnida; Ixodida; Ixodidae. The record is from RefSeq and is a predicted model, not a curated record.